GAUGAACGCUGGCGGCGUGCCUAAUACAUGCAAGUCGAGCGAACAGACGAGGAGCUUGCUCCUCUGACGUUAGCGGCGGACGGGUGAGUAACACGUGUAUAACCUACCUAUCAGACUGGGAUAACUUCGGGAAACCGGCUCUAAUCCCGUAUAAUCUAUUGCACCGCAUUGUUCAAUAGUGAAAGACGGUUUUGCUGUCACUUAUCGAUGGAUCCGGGCCUCAUUAGCUAGUUGGGAAGGUAACGGCUUACCAAGGCGACGAUGCGUAGCCGACGUGAGAGGGUGAUAGGCCACACUGGAACGGAGACACGGUCAAGACUACUACGGGAGGCAGCAGUAGGGAAGCGGACGCAAUGGGCGAAAGACUGACGGAGCAACGCCGAGUGAGUGAUGAAGGCCUUGGGAGCGUAAAAAUCGGUUAUGAGGGAAGAACAAAUGUGGAAGUAAAUAUGCACGGAGUGACGGUAACGAAUAAGAAAGCAACGGCUAACUACGUG
This 497-nucleotide ribosomal RNA is filed under the name uncultured bacterium. RNAcentral's name for it is "partial 16S ribosomal RNA". It matches the Rfam family "Bacterial small subunit ribosomal RNA", at positions 28 to 507 of the family's 1533-position model. The record is from RNAcentral.